CUGGAUGCGAGUCCUUUAAGCCAAGUCUUUGUUUUAUUAUGUUUAAAGCACUUCAUUUAAACAGUUUUAUGGCAUAUUAUGCACUAAUAAUUUGUUUUAAAACACUUCACUUGUUUAAAUCUUCAGCGAGGUAUUUUUAAUAUACUUGUACAACGGAACGUAACUGUCAACGUUUUUGAGAAUGUCGGCAAGGCGGCGGGGGACAUUAUUAUUAAACACUUCACUUAAUUCACUUGCGAGGAUAAGUCUUUCAAAUGCAAACACUUGACAUUUAAAUAUAAGGUGCUCCACAUCUGCAAUACUACCAUUCUGGCAGUGAGGACAUGUACCAUCGGCUAUUAUUGAAAAUCUGGCUAAGUGCGCUGGUGCACGAUUGUGACCAAACCUUAAUCUGUUUAUGGUGGUUAUAAAACUUCGACUUCCCAUCUUCAUCUUCUCAUACCAAGGUUUUCCAGGGCCUCAAAUACUGCAUAAGCUUCAGCUGUGAAUAUGGAACAUAAAUCGUGCAACCUAAAGCUCUGUACAAAUUUAGUUUGCGGAUCAUACACUGCACUUCGCACAUGAGAUUCAGUUUUACUACCAUCUGUGUAAAGUUUGUAAUAAUUAGGAAUUAGCGAUAAGAAAUUUAGGAAGUCAGUAUUAUUAUUGAUAGACUUUGUACAUACGGUUAUGUUUAUAACUUUACUAUUAAAAUUAUCUUCAUAA
Leguminivora glycinivorella is the source of this 705-nucleotide long non-coding RNA. RefSeq lists it as uncharacterized. Lineage: Eukaryota; Metazoa; Arthropoda; Insecta; Lepidoptera; Tortricidae. The transcript is spliced from 2 exons. The record is from RefSeq and is a predicted model, not a curated record.